RNAcentral lists this ribosomal RNA (316 nucleotides) under uncultured bacterium. Its description in RNAcentral is "bacterial SSU rRNA". It matches the Rfam family "Bacterial small subunit ribosomal RNA", at positions 28 to 346 of the family's 1533-position model. The record is from RNAcentral.
GACGAACGCUGGCGGCGUGCCUAACACAUGCAAGUCGAACGGGGUGUUCCUUCGGGGACACUUAGUGGCGAACGGGUGAGUAACGCGUGAGAAACCUGCCUUUCAGUGGGGGACAACAGUUGGAAACGACUGCUAAUACCGCAUAAUGUUUCGAGAGGGCAUCCUUUUGAAACCAAAGCUUUAUGUGCUGAAAGAUGGUCUCGCGUCUGAUUAGCUAGUUGGUGAGGUAACGGCUCACCAAGGCGACGAUCAGUAGCCGGUCUGAGAGGAUGAACGGCCACAUUGGGACUGAGAUACGGCCCAGACUCCUACGGGA